CUUGGUAAAACAGGUAAUGGAUUAAAAGGGAAUCCGGUGAAAAUCUGGAACUAUCCCCGUAGCUGUAAGCUCCUAGCAAAUUAUCCUCACUCACGCCACUGUUGCCAACACGGGAAGGCUUGGAUAACGGAGCAAGUCAGAAGACCUGCCGCAUCCAUU
This 159-nucleotide non-coding RNA is filed under the name uncultured Sediminibacterium sp. Lineage: Bacteria; Pseudomonadati; Bacteroidota; Chitinophagia; Chitinophagales; Chitinophagaceae. The record is from RNAcentral.